Molecule: long non-coding RNA, 460 nt
Filed under: Junco hyemalis (dark-eyed junco)
Lineage: Eukaryota; Metazoa; Chordata; Aves; Passeriformes; Passerellidae
Description: lncRNA (ENSJHYG00000001885.1)
Source: RNAcentral
CUUUAAAGAGUCAAGACACAAACAUGUUCAGAUAAGCGGAGUGUCACUGUAGUAGGUGGCUGUGUAGGCAGCGGGCAGUGCCCUGGGUUCUGUUUGGUGCAGGACAGGCAGGGAUGUGCCAGGAGCCCUCUCAGCCCGCUCCGGUGCCGACGUUCCCUGGGUAUCCGAUCCGGCAUUAGCAUGCUGACAGCUCAGCAUUUAGGACAUUAUGGAGAAGGCUGAUGUUGGUCCUGGAGUGGCCCUGGUGCUGCAGUGGCUCUGGGUGCUGGCCCUGGGCAGCUGAGGUUUGACCCGAGUGGAACUCGCUGCCGGCUCCUCGCACCCGCUGCUGGCACAGCACAGAGGGAAUCAGUUCUCCUGAUUCUCACCUAAUGAAGCCAUUCGGAGACUGCAGCUCUGUCACUUGUGCAGUUACUGAAUAUAAUCAUCCCAAUAAAAUCUACAGUUAAGAAAAAAUCCA